UAAUAACUCUACAAAGCUUACCUUGUACAUGGCAGCGAGUAUGAAAGAGAUGUUCUCGUUGUUGCUCGCUCUUUGGUUUUGCCAAAGAUGAUUGUCCACGAUCAUGAAAAUCAUCAUCCAUUCUAGGGACACGUUGAGGGCUGCACCUAUAGGGCUGGUUAUCCCUAUCUUCCUUAAUUGGAUCUCGAUAUUGAUGUUUUUGAUUCACUCGUACCUC
This 217-nucleotide long non-coding RNA is filed under the name Gossypium barbadense (sea-island cotton). Its description in RNAcentral is "long non-coding RNA (GBAR_LNC017165)". Lineage: Eukaryota; Viridiplantae; Streptophyta; Magnoliopsida; Malvales; Malvaceae. The record is from RNAcentral.